AGUGAACGCUGGCGGUAGGCCUAACACAUGCAAGUCGAACGGCAGCACAGGAGAGCUUGCUCUCUGGGUGGCGAGUGGCGGACGGGUGAGGAAUACAUCGGAAUCUACUCUGUCGUGGGGGAUAACGUAGGGAAACUUACGCUAAUACCGCAUACGACCUACGGGUGAAAGCAGGGGAUCUUCGGACCUUGCGCGAUUGAAUGAGCCGAUGUCGGAUUAGCUAGUUGGCGGGGUAAAGGCCCACCAAGGCGACGAUCCGUAGCUGGUCUGAGAGGAUGAUCAGCCACACUGGAACUGAGACACGGUCCAGACUCCUACGGGAGGCAGCAGUGGGGAAUAUUGGACAAUGGGCGCAAGCCUGAUCCAGCCAUACCGCGUGGGUGAAGAAGGCCUUCGGGUUGUAAAGCCCUUUUGUUGGGAAAGAAAUCCAUCUGGUUAAUACCCGGGUGGGAUGACGGUACCCAAAGAAUAAGCACCGGCUAACUUCGUGCCAGCCGCCGCAGUAA
Molecule: ribosomal RNA, 506 nt
Filed under: uncultured bacterium
Lineage: Bacteria
Description: partial 16S ribosomal RNA
Rfam family: Bacterial small subunit ribosomal RNA
Source: RNAcentral